Molecule: ribosomal RNA, 376 nt
Filed under: uncultured bacterium
Lineage: Bacteria
Description: bacterial SSU rRNA
Rfam family: Bacterial small subunit ribosomal RNA
Source: RNAcentral
UAAGACGAACCGUCCAAACGUUAUUCGGAAUCACUGGGCUUAAAGCGUGCGUAGGCGGCCUGCAAAGUUGGGUGUGAAAUCCCUCGGCUUAACCGAGGAACUGCGCCCAAAACUAGUGGGCUGGAGGGAGAUAGAGGUGAGCGGAACUAAUGGUGGAGCGGUGAAAUGCGUUGAUAUCAUUAGGAACACCGGUGGCGAAAGCGGCUCACUGGGUCUCUUCUGACGCUGAGGCACGAAAGCUAGGGGAGCGAACGGGAUUAGAUACCCCGGUAGUCCUAGCCGUAAACGAUGAGCACUAGGUCGAGGAACUUCCACAGUUUCCCGGCCGUAGCGAAAGUGUUAAGUGCUCCGCCUGGGGAGUAUGGUCGCAAGGCUG